CACAGAGGGAACCUCUUACUGCGCAGUACACAAGGCAACCCUCUCAAAACACUGGUGUCUUCAGUAAGGAGGGAACCCUUGCCAUGAAAGCGGUAAAUGCACUUGAGAUUGACACGCUGUUUUCAGAUAUCGCCGAAACUUUCAACAAGCAAUACAGGGAUCACUGUGCCAUGGAGGAAGCUAUCCGAAGGCUGAAAGAGGCUUCUGGCUGUGCUCCCACUAGCAGCCUGACAGACUGUAUAGACAAUAUAAAGCGGGAACAUGGUGCCUGCAGUUUGCAGGUGCACAUGGACGGCUAUAGCUUUUCACUCAUUGUAAAGGAGAAAGAAGUGCCUGCAGACUUGGAGCAGGCCCAACGGCAGGUGUGGGAACUGAAUCGUGCCACAAAGCAUGUCAUUGCUACAGAAACAAAACUCCAGGAAAUGAUCUGUUCAGUGCUUCAGAGCCAGAGUCAGCUGGCAGAGAGAAUGAAAGCCACAAACCCAGAGUACCUGGACCAGGUACGGCUAGACGCUAACCUGAGAGAGAAUAUCCAAACCGUGAGCCAGGCCAAAGAGCUCUCCAAGCAGUAUGGCAAAGAUGCCAGCAGCGUGCUGAAAGAAAUGGCUCACCUAGCUGGUAUGAUCCUGUAAAAGGUUCAAAAAGUAAGGAUCCAGCUGGUAUUUAUACCUUCCCCUUUGUACCUAAAAUCUACAGAGUGCCGAAGAGCACACCUUGGUACAGCCGUGAUUAUCUGGGCAAUUAGCACACGUAUAGGUAGUUGUACUAGGUCUGGUUUAUUUAGCCAAGGAACCUGAAUCAGGAGAGUAGGAUUUCUUCUCAAGGGGCUGAAGUGAUGGACAAAAAGUAUGUCCUCCUUUUCAUCUGCCAAGCACUCAAGCCCCCUUGCAGGGUUUCAGCCCACCAACACCUCCAGUGCUACUUCAAUAUCUGCAGAACCAGAGAAGUACAAAGUAAUGAGAGUUAGGCCUGAAUAUAGCCCAGAGACCAUAUGUAGCUUAUCUAAAGCCACCUAAAU
This 1018-nucleotide long non-coding RNA is filed under the name Crocodylus porosus (Australian saltwater crocodile). RNAcentral describes it as "lncRNA (ENSCPRG00005018495.1)". The record is from RNAcentral. Lineage: Eukaryota; Metazoa; Chordata; Crocodylia; Crocodylidae.